GGCAACGCUCGCCCAGGGCCGGAAAGUUGUCCAAACUUGGUCAUUUAGAGGAAGUAAAAGUCGUAACAAGGUUUCCGUAGGUGAACCUGCGGAAGGAUCAUUACAGAGUGCGAGGCUCAGUCGUGGCGUCUGCUGCGUGCUGGGCCGACCCUCCCACCCGUGUCGAUUUAUAUCUUGUUGCUUUGGCGGGCCGGGCCGCGUCGUCGCUGCCCACAUGGACAUGCGUCGGCCGCCCACCGGUGGUUUAUCCACUGGAGCGCGCCCGCCAAAGACCCAACCAAAACUCAUGUUGUUUGUGUCGUCUCAGCUUUAUUAUGAAAAUUGAUAAAACUUUCAACAACGGAUCUCUUGGCUCUGGCAUCGAUGAAGAACGCAGCGAAAUGCGAUAAGUAAUGUGAAUUGCAGAAUUUAGUGAAUCAUCGAAUCUUUGAACGCACAUUGCGCCCCUUGGUAUUCCGAGGGGCAUGCCUGUUCGAGCGUCAUAACACCCCCUCCAGCUACCUUUGUGUGGCUGCGGUGUUGGGGCGCGUCGCGAUGCGGCGGCCCUUAAAGACAGUGGCGGUCCCGGCGUGGGCUCUACGCGUAGUAACUUGCUUCUCGCGACAGAGUGACGACGGUGGCUUGCCAGAACAACCUCCCUAUUGCUCCAGUCACAUGGAUCACAGGUUGACCUCGAAUCAGGUAGGAAUACCCGCUGAACUUAAGCAUAUCAAUAAGCGGAGGAAAAGAAACCAACCGGGAUUACCUCAUACGGGG
Molecule: ribosomal RNA, 756 nt
Filed under: uncultured Erysiphe
Lineage: Eukaryota; Fungi; Ascomycota; Leotiomycetes; Helotiales; Erysiphaceae
Description: eukaryotic LSU rRNA
Rfam family: 5.8S ribosomal RNA (bases 329-482)
Source: RNAcentral